This 157-nucleotide unclassified non-coding RNA is filed under the name uncultured Helotiales. RNAcentral's name for it is "sequence contains ITS1". The record is from RNAcentral. Lineage: Eukaryota; Fungi; Ascomycota; Leotiomycetes; Helotiales.
CAGAGUUCAUGCCCUUACGGGUAGAUCUCCCACCCUUGAGUAUUAUACCUUUGUUGCUUUGGCAGGCCGCCUAGGCUACCGGCUUCGGCUGGUAUGUGCCCGCCAGAGGACCCAAAACUCUGAAUUAUAGUGUUGUCUGAGUACUAUAAAAUAGUUA